Long non-coding RNA from Bufo bufo (common toad), 126 nucleotides. RefSeq lists it as uncharacterized. Lineage: Eukaryota; Metazoa; Chordata; Amphibia; Anura; Bufonidae. The transcript is spliced from 3 exons. The record is from RefSeq and is a predicted model, not a curated record.
CAGGGAACCUCUAAGAAUAAAAAAAAAUAGUAGAUUUACCUGGGGUAUAUCUGAACCAAGUCCGUGGUUAGAUCCUGCGUGAUUGCAUGGGAACGUGGAUCUCCGUCAGAAUAAAACCAACCAGCU